Molecule: transfer RNA, 108 nt
Filed under: Auriscalpium vulgare
Lineage: Eukaryota; Fungi; Basidiomycota; Agaricomycetes; Russulales; Auriscalpiaceae
Description: tRNA-Cys
Rfam family: tRNA
About the family: Transfer RNA (tRNA) molecules are approximately 80 nucleotides in length.
Source: RNAcentral
GACUCUGUAGCUCAGGGGUUAGAGCAGUCGAUUGCAGCGAGGCUUACGUAAUCACCAUUACGUCAGCAUUCUAUCGACAGGUCGUGUGUUCAAAUCACGCCAGGGUCU